GAUGAAGAACGUAGCGAAAUGCGAUGAGUAAUGUGAAUUGCAGAAUUCAGUGAAUCAUCGAAUCUUUGAACGCACCUUGCGCCCUUUGGCCAUUCCGAAGGGCAUGCCUGUUUGAGUAUCAUGAACACCUCAACUCUUCAUGGUUUUCCAUGAUGAGCUUGGACUUUGGGGGUCUUGCUGGCCUGUGGGUCGGCUCCUCUCAAAUGAAUCAGCUUGCCGGUUUUUGGUGGGCAUCACAGGUGUGAUAACUAUCUACGCUUGUGGUUUUCCACCAGGGUAACCUUCAGCAGUGGAGGUUCACUGGAGCUUACAAAUGUCUCUCCUCUGUGAGGACAGCCCUUUGAAUGUUUGAUCUCAAAUCAGGUAGGACUACCCGCUGAACUUAAGCAUAUCAAUAAGCGGAGGA
This 406-nucleotide unclassified non-coding RNA is filed under the name soil metagenome. RNAcentral describes it as "partial contains 5.8S ribosomal RNA, internal transcribed spacer 2, and large subunit ribosomal RNA". The stretch from base 1 to 121 matches the Rfam family "5.8S ribosomal RNA", at positions 35 to 154 of the family's 154-position model. The record is from RNAcentral.